AUAGCUUUCUGAUCCAUAUAUUUCUUCAAUUUGGAAGCCAACUUUGAAUUGAUUUUGCUGUGCAUUACCAGAUGGCAGAAGAGUCUAAUUCUUUGGAGUAUACACCAACAUGGGUAGUUGCUGUUGUCUGUUUCGUCAUCGUUCUAAUCUCUUUUUUUGCAGAACGUGGUCUUCAUAAUCUUGGGAAGUGGUUGAAGAAAAAGAAACAAGACGCAUUAUUUGAAGCCCUACAAAAAUUAGAAGAAGAAUUGAUGCUUUUAGGGUUCAUUUCCCUUCUGCUAACUGUCACUCAAGGUGCAAUAAGCCGCUUUUGCAUUCCACCUCAUCUUGCAGCUAUCAUGCUCCCAUGUAAGAGAAAAACUGAGAGCAGCAGUCAUGAAAAAUAUUUUCAUGUCAUAAACAAUCGACGACGGUUGUUGUCUGCAAGUAGUAAUGCAGCUCACUGUGUUCAUAAGGGGAAGGUUCAACUGUUUUCAUUGGAAGCAUUGCACCAGCUUCAUAUUUUCAUCUUUGUUUUGGCAGUUGUGCAAGUGAUAUUCUGUGCCUCUACAAUGGUUCUGGGUGGAGCAAGGAUAAGGCAAUGGAAGGCUUGGGAAGAUUCAAUAAAGCCUAAACCAGAACCAGAAGGUCAAACUAAGAUUGCAGAAGAACACCACCAUCACUUGACCAAGUUCCUUCAUAAACACACAAAAGGAUUUUGGAGAAAGGCAGCAGUUAUAAGCUGGUUGAUAUCAUUCUUCAAACAUUUUACUGGCUCUAUUACCAAGUCAGAUUACAUUGCCCUUCGACAAGGAUUUAUCAAGGCACAUUUUCCUCAUAUGUCUCAGUUUAAUUUUCAUGAAUACAUUUUGCGGAAUCUUCAAAUGGAUUUCAAGCAAAUUGUUGGCAUAAGCUGGUACCUGUGGCUCUUUGUGGUGAUCUUUCUGCUGCUAAAUGUAGAAGGGUGGCACACAUACUUUUGGUUAGCUUUUUUGCCUUUAAUUCUUCUGCUGCUAGUAGGUGCUAAGCUAGAACACAUAAUCGCCCGUAUGGCUCAUGAGGCCAAUGAGCAGACAGACAACAAGGAAGUGAAGCCUUCUGAUGAUCACUUUUGGUUUGGGAAGCCUGUCAUUAUUCUUCACUUGAUUCACUUCAUCCUGUUUCAAAAUUCAUUUGAGAUUGCUUUCUUCUUCUGGAUAUGGUGCACUUAUGGAUUUGAAUCAUGCAUCAUGGAAAAACUGGGCUACAUCGUGCCGAGACUUAUUAUGGGGUAAUCAAUAAUCCAUAUACGUAAAUAUGAUCUUGCUUGCAAUUGCAUACAUAAUAACAUAAUUACUUUGGCUUGUGGGUGAGUCCAGUUUGAUUGUCCAAGUGCUCUGCAGUUACAGCACCUUGCCUUUGUAUGCUCUAGUCUCCCAGGUGGGUAAAAAACCACUACCUAUACACCAAGUUUUCUUUUAUUCUGCUUGCAUUACAUACAGAAAAAUCAUGAGUUUCAUUGUGCUGACUUUAGUUUUUCUUUGGUGAGUGAAGAUGGGUAGCAAGUACACAGUAAGAGUUUUUCGUGGUCCUACACAAUCAUUGAUAACUCGCUGGGCAAAUAUGCCUUCUGGAAUACAUGAGACUCCGGCUCAUACCAAUCAGUUGAUAGCAGAAACAUCUGAGAGUGCUGCACAAGAAAUGAUUGUUAUAGAAGCAACUUCAGCAUCAGUAACUGAGCAUUCAAGAAAUGAUGCCAACCUUUUUUAAUAUAUACCCUCUUCUGUUGUUGAAUCAUUCUUCUCCCAAGUGAUAUUGUUGUUAAUGAUGGAAAUUCCUCACUCAAAUUCCUUCAAUUUGCCUGUGUAUUAAAUGCUAAUAGUUUAUAUUAGAUUUUACUUGAGGUAAUUAAGUUUUGUCAACUUUGUUUAUGUUAAAUUUGUAGUUUUGGUUCUCAAAAUCUUAAUAUAUAUGAGUAAACUUUCUAAGUGAGGAUGAUAAUUCAACUAAUAA
This 1971-nucleotide unclassified non-coding RNA is filed under the name Hevea brasiliensis (rubber tree). Lineage: Eukaryota; Viridiplantae; Streptophyta; Magnoliopsida; Malpighiales; Euphorbiaceae. The record is from RNAcentral.